Molecule: non-coding RNA, 194 nt
Organism: Yokenella regensburgei ATCC 43003
Lineage: Bacteria; Pseudomonadati; Pseudomonadota; Gammaproteobacteria; Enterobacterales; Enterobacteriaceae
Source: Rfam
UAUAGGCAUGCAGCGUGCGCUGGCAGAGCGCUGAACGCACGCAGUCGUCCUUGCCAAAACGCACCACACCUAUCAUGUCAUCUUCCUCGAAACGCGCCAUCGCAUCGCUCAGGCCAGACUUCACGCCAGGAGGCAAAUCGCACUGGGUGAUGUCACCGUUCACGAUAACCGUCACGUUUUCCCCGAGGCGUGUA